RNAcentral lists this long non-coding RNA (702 nucleotides) under Castor canadensis (American beaver). RNAcentral describes it as "lncRNA (ENSCCNG00000016873.1)". The record is from RNAcentral. Lineage: Eukaryota; Metazoa; Chordata; Mammalia; Rodentia; Castoridae.
GAAUCUCUUUCCUGGAACAGGCACCUGGCUCAUGAUUCCCACUUGCAAAGAAUUCGCCCUCGGACGAGCUUUGAAGUUGUCACCACUCGGCUUGUACAUUUCUCCUUUAAAGGAGAAGAAUGUAGGGUGAGCCGCGGCAGGGCACAGGGCGCGCAGACGUGGACGUGUCACGAGGACCCUGGGUAGCCAUCUUAAACGAACAAAAACGCCUUUCGCAAAAACAGGGGCCAGGGAGUGUCCCCCAGAGCGACAAGAGGAUAAAAAAGGAAAUGAGUGAAUUUCUCCUCUGUCACACGGACCACCGGUUCCGAGCUUUGCGGAGGGAAGCACGGAAGGAUGGAAAUUGUCCCCGAAUUUAUGUUUUCUGCAACGCAAACUUCCAUGGCCCGCACACCCCUCCCUCCUCUGCAUCGCGCCCGAGAACGGGUGGUUUUGGUGCAGCUGGAGCGACAGCCACUCGGUCUGAAGCGGUUUCCCGGCUGUUAGCCUUGCUCGGAAGAACACCUGGAAAGGAACGGCUCCUUAGACCCCAGGAUGUAAGAGGACAGCUGGACAUGGCCAGCCAGGAUGGGUGCCAGAGGAGCAGGUUCUUGCCAUCUGUCGGGGUGGCUGACUCCUGCUGUGGUUCCAUUUCUCAGCUGACAGAGCAUCUGACCAGGGAAUUUAUGCUGCUCGCACAACACAGAAAUCGCUGAGAGAGGC